AUUCAGGCUGACAAGUCCCAAAUAGGACGAAACACGCGUUGAACUGGAU
RNAcentral lists this non-coding RNA (49 nucleotides) under Schistosoma margrebowiei. Lineage: Eukaryota; Metazoa; Platyhelminthes; Trematoda; Strigeidida; Schistosomatidae. The record is from RNAcentral.